AGCGAACGCUGGCGGCAGGCUUAACACAUGCAAGUCGAGCGGACCUUUCGGGGUCAGCGGCGGACGGGUGAGUAACGCGUGGGAACGUGCCUUCCGGUUCGGAAUAACCCUGGGAAACUAGGGCUAAUACCGGAUACGCCCUUAUGGGGAAAGGUUUACUGCCGGAAGAUCGGCCCGCGUCUGAUUAGCUAGUUGGUGGGGUAACGGCCUACCAAGGCGAGGAUCAGUAGCUGGUCUGAGAGGAUGAUCAGCCACACUGGGACUGAGACACGGCCCAGACUCCUACGGGAGGAAGCAGUGGGGAAUAUUGGAAAAUGGGCGCAAGCCUGAUCCAGCCAUGCCGCGUGAGUGAUGAAGGCCUUAGGGUUGUAAAGCUCUUUUAUCCGGGACGAUAAUGACGGUACCGGAGGAAUAAGCCCCGGCUAACUUCGUG
Molecule: ribosomal RNA, 433 nt
Filed under: uncultured bacterium
Lineage: Bacteria
Description: partial 16S ribosomal RNA
Rfam family: Bacterial small subunit ribosomal RNA
Source: RNAcentral